Molecule: ribosomal RNA, 253 nt
Filed under: uncultured prokaryote
Description: partial 16S ribosomal RNA
Rfam family: Bacterial small subunit ribosomal RNA
Source: RNAcentral
GCAGAGGGUGCUAGCGUUGUUCGGAAUCAUUGGGCGUAAAGGGCGUGUAGGCGGUUUGUUAAGUCACGUGUGAAAUCCCUCGGCUCAACCGGGGAACGACGCAUGAAACUGGCAAGCUAGAGUACCAAAGAGGGGGGUGGAAUUCCCGGUGUAGCGGUGAAAUGCGUAGAGAUCGGGAGGAAGGCCGGUGGCGAAGGCGGCGCUCUGGAACAUUUCUGACGCUGAGGCUCGAAAGCGUGGGGAGCAAACAGGA